Small nucleolar RNA from Rhinolophus ferrumequinum (greater horseshoe bat), 121 nucleotides. Lineage: Eukaryota; Metazoa; Chordata; Mammalia; Chiroptera; Rhinolophidae. The record is from Ensembl.
GUUCCCUUUUCAGAUUGUCACAGUGCCCUAAGCGGCUAACACAGAAAGGUAAAUAAAGUAAGCUCAUGAAACCCAAUGAGAUUGUAAAAUUCCUCUUUGGAUCCUGUCUGGAGUCACAGCU